GGUUCCGGGGGAAGUGGAAUUAUUUUUUACCAGCGAAGAAGAGAUCAACUUCCACAUCCGGUAACAAGGGGCCCCCUCUACAAAAAAGGCGCAGACUGACCUGGAAAAGCUUGGCCGGCCCGCCGGCCAUCGGAGGCAAUUUAUUACUUGAGACAAAACUGGAACAAUUUGAAGAUAAAAAGGGUGUUCAUCUCUUUACAUAAGAGGAUCCUGUAUUUUACUGAUGGAUCGUUUUGGAUAAAUUCCAAAGGCCAUCCAGUUAGUAGAUGGAACAAUGGCUAACUUACCAUGAAGAUGCUCAAGUAAGAAAACAUACCCCAUUGAUUGAUGUAGGGAAACAACUUAAGAGUUGACAUAACUGGAUUAUAUACAGAGGUUCUGUGACUUACAAUGUAAUCUGAGCUUCAUUUAAGUCCUAUCAGUAGAUAAAGAGAUUCUGAUUAAACAACAUAUCAAACAGUA
Molecule: long non-coding RNA, 462 nt
Organism: Protobothrops mucrosquamatus (brown spotted pit viper)
Lineage: Eukaryota; Metazoa; Chordata; Lepidosauria; Squamata; Viperidae
Exons: 2
Source: RefSeq, a predicted model, not a curated record